GAGCACCUACGGUGCUUCUACCCUUAUGAUUUAAAAGCUAUGUACUCUAUUUUCCCUUUUAUUAUUGAAUAAAUAAAACCUUCAAGGUUCUUUGCAUACCUACUGCCUUACUGUUCCUUUGCCCGAGCUGUUCCUAACGCUCGGGGGCUGUCCGACUUGUUUGAUAGACCACUCGCUCUCAAGCUCAGGGGCUUCCCCCAGGCACCGACCUCUAGGUCUCGCAUCCUUCUUCUCCCCCUCUCGAAGCAAUACGACUAACUCGUGUGGUCGGCGUUCUAGCUCGUGAAACCUAGACAACCUUGAGUUCACCC
Molecule: long non-coding RNA, 311 nt
Filed under: Setaria viridis
Lineage: Eukaryota; Viridiplantae; Streptophyta; Magnoliopsida; Poales; Poaceae
Description: long non-coding RNA (SVIR_LNC001954)
Source: RNAcentral